AGAGUGAACGCUGGCGGUAGGCCUAACACAUGCAAGUCGAACGGCAGCACAGUGGUAGCAAUACCAUGGGUGGCGAGUGGCGGACGGGUGAGGAAUACAUCGGAAUCUACCUUUUCGUGGGGGAUAACGUAGGGAAACUUACGCUAAUACCGCAUACGCCCUUCGGGGGAAAGCCGGGGAUCGCAAGACCUGGCGCGGAUAGAUGAGCCGAUGUCGGAUUAGCUAGUUGGUGAGGUAAUGGCUCACCAAGGCGACGAUCCGUAGCUGGUCUGAGAGGAUGAUCAGCCACACUGGAACUGAGACACGGUCCAGACUCCGUACGGGAGCA
This 328-nucleotide ribosomal RNA is filed under the name uncultured soil bacterium. RNAcentral describes it as "bacterial SSU rRNA". It matches the Rfam family "Bacterial small subunit ribosomal RNA", at positions 26 to 349 of the family's 1533-position model. The record is from RNAcentral.